RNAcentral lists this ribosomal RNA (1396 nucleotides) under Salmonella enterica subsp. enterica serovar Typhimurium. RNAcentral describes it as "partial 23S ribosomal RNA". It matches the Rfam family "Bacterial large subunit ribosomal RNA", at positions 404 to 1616 of the family's 2925-position model. Lineage: Bacteria; Pseudomonadati; Pseudomonadota; Gammaproteobacteria; Enterobacterales; Enterobacteriaceae. The record is from RNAcentral.
CUCGAUGAGUAGGGCGGGACACGUGGUAUCCUGUCUGAAUAUGGGGGGACCAUCCUCCAAGGCUAAAUACUCCUGACUGACCGAUAGUGAACCAGUACCGUGAGGGAAAGGCGAAAAGAACCCCGGCGAGGGGAGUGAAAAAGAACCUGAAACCGUGUACGUACAAGCAGUGGGAGCCCCACCACUAAGCCAGUGGUGAACUCCACAUCCGCAUCCUUUGCUGAGGAUACGGUUAACGGAGCGAAAGCGACGUUCAACCGCAAAACAAGCAGAGGGGGCUUAGUGGUGGGGUGACUGCGUACCUUUUGUAUAAUGGGUCAGCGACUUAUAUUCUGUAGCAAGGUUAACCGAAUAGGGGAGCCGGAGGGAAACCGAGUCUUAAUUGGGCGUUAAGUUGCAGGGUAUAGACCCGAAACCCGGUGAUCUAGCCAUGGGCAGGUUGAAGGUUGGGUAACACUAACUGGAGGACCGAACCGACUAAUGUUGAAAAAUUAGCGGAUGACCUGUGGCUGGGGGUGAAAGGCCAAUCAAACCGGGAGAUAGCUGGUUCUCCCCGAAAGCUAUUUAGGUAGCGCCUCGUGAAUUCAUCUCCGGGGGUAGAGCACUGUUUCGGCUAGGGGGCCAUCCCGGCUUACCAACCCGAUGCAAACUGCGAAUACCGGAGAAUGUUAUCACGGGAGACACACGGCGGGUGCUAACGUCCGUCGUGAAGAGGGAAACAACCCAGACCGCCAGCUAAGGUCCCAAAGUCAUGGUUAAGUGGGAAACGAUGUGGGAAGGCCCAGACAGCCAGGAUGUUGGCUUAGAAGCAGCCAUCAUUUAAAGAAAGCGUAAUAGCUCACUGGUCGAGUCGGCCUGCGCGGAAGAUGUAACGGGGCUAAACCAUGCACCGAAGCUGCGGCAGCGAACGUAUCACCCAAGACAACUUUACGGAGUUGACGAUUGACGGAGCGAAGCGACGUCAAAGCGUUCAUUAAAGUCGAGUUGGCUUAGGGAUACGUUCGUUGGGUAGGGGAGCGUUCUGUAAGCCUGUGAAGGUGUGUCGUGAGGCAUGCUGGAGGUAUCAGAAGUGCGAAUGCUGACAUAAGUAACGAUAAAGCGGGUGAAAAGCCCGCUCGCCGGAAGACCAAGGGUUCCUGUCCAACGUUAAUCGGGGCAGGGUGAGUCGACCCCUAAGGCGAGGCCGAAAGGCGUAGUCGAUGGGAAACGGGUUAAUAUUCCCGUACUUGGUGUUACUGCGAAGGGGGGACGGAGAAGGCUAUGUUGGCCGGGCGACGGUUGUCCCGGUUUAAGCGUGUAGGUGUGUGUUCCAGGUAAAUCCGGUUCACUUUAACACUGAGGCGUGACGACGAGGCACUACGGUGCUGAAGCAACAAAUGCCCUGCUUCCAGGAAAA